GUCUGGGUCACGUUUGUUUUGUUCGUCCGUUUUGUAUAUGUCAUCUAAUAGGGCGGUCAGUCGGGCUUCGGUUUGUUUUUUUAGUAUUGCCCCUUGUUGGAUAUAGUGACCUCUUAUCACACUUUUGUGUGCCUCCCAGCGUAUCGUCGGCGAUGUCUGCUCCGUCGUGUUGGUGGUAAGGUAUUCUCUGAUUUUAUCGCCUAUAAGGGUCGUGACUCCCGGGUGGGAGAGUAGGUAUUCAUUGAGUCUCCAUUUCGGAGAUGUGGGGCGAAAUAGUGGUGACUUUAUUUUGAG
Pelobates cultripes (western spadefoot toad) is the source of this 294-nucleotide non-coding RNA. The record is from the annotation of a GenBank genome assembly. Lineage: Eukaryota; Metazoa; Chordata; Amphibia; Anura; Pelobatidae.